GCCUCAGUAGCACAAUCAGGUAGUGCACUCGCCUCCUAAGCUUAGGUUAGUGAGAGGUUGCGGGUUCGAGUCCCGUCUGAGGUG
Transfer RNA from Spizellomyces punctatus DAOM BR117, 84 nucleotides. It matches the Rfam family "tRNA". From Rfam's summary of the family: Transfer RNA (tRNA) molecules are approximately 80 nucleotides in length. Their secondary structure includes four short double-helical elements and three loops (D, anti-codon, and T loops). Further hydrogen bonds mediate the characteristic L-shaped molecular structure. tRNAs have two regions of fundamental functional importance: the anti-codon, which is responsible for specific mRNA codon recognition, and the 3' end, to which the tRNAs corresponding amino acid is attached (by aminoacyl-tRNA synthetases). tRNAs cope with the degeneracy of the genetic code in two manners: having more than one tRNA (with a specific anti-codon) for a particular amino acid; and 'wobble' base-pairing, i.e. permitting non-standard base-pairing at the 3rd anti-codon position. The record is from Rfam. NCBI's taxonomy places the organism in Eukaryota, Fungi, Chytridiomycota, Chytridiomycetes, Spizellomycetales, Spizellomycetaceae.